GGAUGUGAUCAUACCAGCACUAAUGCACCAGAUCCCAUCAGAACUCCGUAGUUAAGCGUGCUUGGGCGAGAGUAGUACUAGGAUGGGUGACCUCAUGGAAAGUCCUCGUGUUUUAUCCC
Ribosomal RNA from Arabidopsis thaliana (thale cress), 119 nucleotides. The record is from Rfam. NCBI's taxonomy places the organism in Eukaryota, Viridiplantae, Streptophyta, Magnoliopsida, Brassicales, Brassicaceae.